AACUUUUCUUGGGUCGACUCAAACCUUGGGUCAGCUCAAACUUUUCUUGGGUCGACCCAACUUCAGGAAAUUCAGAAUCUUGAAUUUCAGCCUUUCUUCACUUGGGUCGACUCAACCUUUCUUUGGGUCGACUCAAGGUUUACUUGGGUCGACUCAACUUCUUCUUGGGUCGACCCUCUCAGUAAAUCCAGAGAACCAUUUUUCCUUCAUGUUUUGAGGUUCUUGAAGUUUGGGUCGACUCAUGCUUACCUUGGGUCGACCCAACCAACUGUUCAUCUGUGCCAUUUUUGCAGGAGUGUGCCAAAUGAUUUCUUGAUGUGCCGGGGUCGACUCAAACAAUCUUUGGGUCGACUCAAUCCACACUUUGCUGCAUUCUCAAGAUUAGAUCCAUCCAAAUGAACAAGAUCAUAUAUAUAUUUUCAAUUAAGCAUAUGUACUGAGAGUAAUGAACUUAUAAAUGAAGUAUCAAUUUAACUUAUAGCAUGCUUUGGAUAAUUGUUUGUUAAUCAUCAAAAUAAC
RNAcentral lists this long non-coding RNA (519 nucleotides) under Phoenix dactylifera (date palm). RNAcentral describes it as "long non-coding RNA (PDAC_LNC022293)". The record is from RNAcentral. Lineage: Eukaryota; Viridiplantae; Streptophyta; Magnoliopsida; Arecales; Arecaceae.